AAACAUACACACUCCACCCACUACUACAAUGCCCACUACUCUCUCUCUCUCUCUCUUACUAUUCUCUUUCUGCUACAAACGACGAUUCACUCCUCGCUGGCGAGAUUCCCUCUCUGUCCUUCGCUCGUCCCUUUUCCUUUCCGUUUUCUCUCUCCGCCUCUCCCUACCUCAAUUUUCCCGAGAAACAAACGCUCUACUGCCUACUCUACUCUAUCUCACCUUCUCUAUCAUGUUGUCUCUUUUCUUUUCAUCUUCUUAUAACAUCAUAAUUCCUCCUACAUACCGUUGUGAUUUUAAAUAAUAUAGCGAAAUCCCAACUUCCUUUAUAAUUUAUUUAAUUAUUUAAGGCUUUUUUUUUUUACCAUACAUGGGUUGUGCCACUUCCAAGCUCGACGAUCUUCCGGCGGUGGCCCUCUGCCGGGACCGCUGUGCUUUUCUUGAUGAAGCUAUUAACCAGCGGUAUGCUCUUGCUGAAGCGCACAAUGCUUAUAUUUACUCUUUGAGAAUGAUUGGUGCUUCUUUGCAUCAUUUUAUAGAACAGGAUUGUGCUGCUUCUGGAUUUGUUCCUUUAUCUCCUCAGCUCAAUUUGCCUCCUCAAAGAAAAGGGGAUCCGGUUGCUCUCACUGAUGAAGGUACCAGUUCACCCAAGAAGGCUAACAUAGCUCACCACUCCCACUCCCACUCCAACUCUGGUUCCCACCUGCACUUCCACUCUGAUUCCGAUGAUGACGACGACGAUGCGUCGCAUCUUCACCAUUCUGAUCGUUCCUCGCCUUUGCACGGCGGUGGCAGUGGAGGCGGAGGUCAUAUCGAGUAUAUGCCUUCUGAAUACAUUGGUAAUGAGCACGAUUCAUAUUCCGGCGGUGGGUUUCUGCACAUGAAUUAUAUGAAGAAUAAAGCCAGCACGCCUUCUGUGGUUUAUGAGCAGAGGCCUAUGACUUCAGAGACUGUUUAUUUCGGUGAAUCUUCUUCUUCUUCUUCUUAUUUUUAUCCCAAUAAUUCCUUACCCCAGUAUUAUGGAUACCCAAAUUAUGGUGCUGCUGACGGUGCAAUGACUGGGUACUACAGUUAUCCCCCGCCGUACGGAUCUUCAUCUAUACCUCAGCCUGCGGCGGCGCCUUCCUCGUCAAAGCCGCCGCCGCCUCCGCCGCCUCCGCCUCCACCUCCGACAGCUUCAACAUGGGAUUUUUUGAAUGUCUUUGGGAGCCAUGAUAAUUACUAUCCUCCUUACACCCCGAGUAGAGACUCAAAGGAGUUGAGGGAAGAGGAGGGAAUUCCUGACUUGGAAGAUGAGGAUCACCAACAAGAGGUCGUUAAGGAGGUCCGCGGACGCGAGAAAUAUGUCGAUGGUGGUGGUGGUGAUGGUGGAGGAGGAGGAGGUAGUGCUAAGGCUAAUAAUCAUUCGAAAUCAGUGAUGAUGGACGAUGGGGAUGCUAUGGCUGGUGGAAAUGCUGAGGCCUCUCUUUAUCAAACAAGACCGAGUGCAUCAAUGGAGAAUGAUGGACCGGAGUAUGAGGUGCAUGUGGUGGAGAAGAAAGUUGAUGAUGAGAGGUCAGAGGAGCAUAGAAAUGCCGGAUUUAAGAGAGGUGGUGGUUUACGGGACGUGUCUCAAGUGGCUUUUGAAAUCAAGAUUCAGUUUGAGAGAGCUUCUGAUUCUGGAAAAGAAAUUGCCCAGAUGCUUGAAGUGGGGAGGCUUCCUUAUCAGCGUAAACAUGUUUCUAAGAUGUUGCAUGUAGUCGUCCCUUCAUUAACUGUAGUAUCCCAACAGCCAUCUACAUCCGGAAGUGCUGAGGCCUCAUCCUCCACUAACAAUGCUGAUCCAGCGUACUUGGAGAUCGAUCAAGAUUUGGUGAUAAGGUCGAAAAAACUUUCUGCUACCUUGCAGAAGCUGCAUCUUUGGGAGAAGAAACUCUAUAAUGAAGUUAAGGCAGAGGAGAAAAUGCGGGUAGUUCAUGAGAGGAAUUGCCGUAAGCUGAAGCGUUUGGAUGAGAGGGGUGCUGAAGUUCAUAAAGUUGAUGCAACUCAGAAAUUAGUUAGGACUCUGUCCACAAAAAUAAGAAUUGCAAUUCAGGUUGUAGACAAAAUAUCUGUUACAAUAAACAGGAUUAGGGAUGAAGAGCUAUGGCCACAGCUGAAUGAAUUAAUUCAGGGAUUAACCAGGAUGUGGAAAAGUAUGCUUGAAUGCCAUCAGUGUCAAUGUGAAGCAAUAAAAGAAGCCAGAGGUUUGGGUUCUGUAGGAUCAAGUAAAAAGCUUGGUGAUGAUCAUCUUCAAGCUACAUUGCGGCUUGAGCGCGACCUUCUUAAUUGGACUUUCAGCUUCUCGAGUUGGAUAGGUGCCCAGAAGGGUUAUGUGAGAGCGUUGAAUAGUUGGCUUGGUAAAUGUCUCUUGUAUGAACCAGAAGAAACACCGGAUGGAAUUGCUCCCUUCUCACCUGGUAGAAUGGGUGCACCUCCUGUGUUUGUAAUCUGUAAUCAGUGGGCACAAUCAAUGGAUGCAAUAUCUGAAAAGGAAGUAAUAAACGCAAUGCGCAUUUUUGCCUCAAGUGUGCUUAAGCUUUGGGAACAGGAUAAACUAGAGAUGCGCCAGAGAAUGAUGACGAAUAAUGAUUUGGAGAGAAAAGUUAGAAAUUUAGAUAGAGAAGAUCAAAGGAUACAUAAGGAGAUUCAAGCAUUAGAAGAGAAAAUUGUUGUUGCUGGGGACAGUUAUAGUCUAUCUGUGACUGGAAAUGUUGUAUAUCAGAGUGAUACUAGCAACAGCAGUUUACAGGGGAGUCUGCAACGCAUUUUUGAGGCCAUGGAGAAGUUCAUGGCUGAGUUGACAAAAGCUUACGAGGAGCUAAUUAAGCGUAGUGAAGAAGAGAGGCUUGCUCAUGAGCAUGAGAGAGUUUCAUAGCAUACUGCUGUAUGGUCCAAUUGAAAUACAUAAUCUUUUUUGCACUUAUGAUUACACUUAUCACAUGGAACUUAUAGUCCAAUGUGAAGUGCAGGAUCUGACACCCUAUUAUAUGCCAUUAAGCUGUUCCCUUCUGCGGUCUUGUAGUGGAGCACUCCCGAUGUUGUUGGUAUAUUCAAUUGUGAGGGUGAUGAGAUGAUUUCAUCUCUUUUCCACCAGCAGCGGCUUUAAUCAUAUUGAUCAAACAAAUUAUGAUUGGUAACAACAUGGAAUUGAUAAGGAGGGGCAAGGGACAUACAAUUACGCCAAUGCAAAACCAACUUUCGACAUUGCAUGUGUUGUUUUGCAGAAUAGGUACUGGAUAGGAUUGGAUUCAAGUCUGGUGAUGUUGAUGAUAACUUGUGGUGCUCGUUAAUGCCCUAUUGGCCAUUGAUUUGCUAUUGAUCCCCAGACUUUCAUGGAAGCGAGGCAGGAUUGAACGUGUCAACAAUUUUGAUCAGGAUGUAUUCAGUUGUAGGUGCAAGGGCUGUCUUGAAUGACGCAAGUCAGAGAACUGCCCAAAUAUCAGAUAUUGUAUGGCUGUUGAAGGCUUGAAGCUGUAGACAUUUCACAGUAUUUUCACAAUUUUGGCUUAUUGUUUGUUAUUGCAGAACCUAUUCUUGGCGACAUCUUGUGUGGAGCCAUUGUUUCCUGCACUGCAUUGCAUGAACUGUGCAGUUCUGGGCAUCUCUGAUAGCCAUGUGGUUCUGUAAUGAUUUUACAUUGGUCUGUUAUGGUUGGUAACAUGCUUAAUCUACAGUGCGCAGUGGUAUUUUCAUCUUCUUUUGAGAUGGAUUGAAAUAGCAACAUUUAUACUAGUGAUUAAGGUGAAAUUUUGAAUACAAGUACACCAAAACUGCAAAGACAUGCAAAUUCUAAGCCUUCCACUCAAAAAACUGAAGGCAAUGCCAAAAAAAAAAAGCAUGGGCUUUUCUUGCAAUGUUUGAAGGUUGUAAUGGGAUUGUACUGUAUAUUGAUUCGAGAAAAACCCAGUUUCUUUUAUAUACUGGAAGGUUACCUGU
RNA transcript from Manihot esculenta (cassava), 3954 nucleotides. It is a transcript of the gene named protein ALTERED PHOSPHATE STARVATION RESPONSE 1, with no coding region annotated. The transcript has 5 exons. The record is from RefSeq and is a predicted model, not a curated record. NCBI's taxonomy places the organism in Eukaryota, Viridiplantae, Streptophyta, Magnoliopsida, Malpighiales, Euphorbiaceae.